GAAAUGCGAUAAGUAAUGUGAAUUGCAGAAUUCAGUGAAUCAUCGAAUCUUUGGACGCACCUUGCGCUCCUUGGUAUUCCUUGGAGCAUGCCUGUUUGAGUAUCAUGCAAUCUUCAAAGUAAAUCUUUUGUUAACUCAAUUGGUUUCUACUUUGGUAUUGGAGGUCUUUGCAGCUUCACACCUGCUCCUCUUUGUUCAUUAGCUGGAUCUCAGUGUUAUGCUUGGUUCCACUCGGCGUGAUAAGUUAUCUAUCGCUGAGGACACUGUAAAAGGUGGCCAAGGUAAAUGCAGAUGAACCGCUUCUAAUAGUCCAUUGACUUGGACAAUACUUUUAUGAUCUGAUCUCAAAUCAGGUAGGACUACCCGCUGAACUUAAGC
This 378-nucleotide unclassified non-coding RNA is filed under the name plant metagenome. Its description in RNAcentral is "partial contains 5.8S ribosomal RNA, internal transcribed spacer 2, and large subunit ribosomal RNA". The stretch from base 1 to 105 matches the Rfam family "5.8S ribosomal RNA", at positions 50 to 154 of the family's 154-position model. The record is from RNAcentral.